UGAGUAGAGGUUGCACCUUUUAAGAGUAGACCGGCGGAUGCAGGCAGUGCAGAAGAAACCGGAGGAAAGGAACAGGUGCCGAAAGAGGCAGCGUUGCCGGCUGUAUUCUUGGGCGUACAAUGAAGAAUUGUGCGACUGUCAUCUAGGAU
This 149-nucleotide non-coding RNA is filed under the name bovine gut metagenome. RNAcentral describes it as "Lysine riboswitch". It matches the Rfam family "Lysine riboswitch aptamer", at positions 8 to 156 of the family's 182-position model. Rfam says of the family: Riboswitches are metabolite binding domains within certain messenger RNAs that serve as precision sensors for their corresponding targets. Allosteric rearrangement of mRNA structure is mediated by ligand binding, and this results in modulation of gene expression. The record is from RNAcentral.